Molecule: long non-coding RNA, 634 nt
Organism: Cannabis sativa
Lineage: Eukaryota; Viridiplantae; Streptophyta; Magnoliopsida; Rosales; Cannabaceae
Exons: 2
Source: RefSeq, a predicted model, not a curated record
UAUUAUAACUUAUAGCAAAAUAAGAAAACCCCAUCAGCCGUUCCUGCCGUUCCUCUCUCUUCGUUCCUCUCUCUCGUUGGCUGCGUCCAACACCGCCCCAGACGCACGACUUCCUCCCACACCAGCGCCUCCCUCUCUCCUCCUACACACCAGCGCCUCCCCCUCUCUCGCGACACAGACGCACGACAGCGCCUCAGCCAGGCCGUUCGAUUGGGUUCCUCCACCGAACAUAAGGGCUUCGAAGAGAUCGACCCAAGCGAUGGCUGGGUCUUCGGCGAUUGACAGCUUCAACGGAGCUGAAAUCCGAGAUCUUCGCCCCGAAAAUAUUCAGAUCUCUGGUAUAUGGUGUUCUCUCUUUCUCUCUUGUUGAAUUUCUCUACAAACUAUGGUGGAUCUCGGGAUCUGUAUCGAUUGGGCUCAAAAAUGGCCGGGCUUGAUGAGUUAGUUCAACUGUUGCAGAUUGUUAGGGAUAAAGAUUGGAACUUGAAUCAACUAAGUUAUUUUUUCUGUUUUUUUUAUUCAAAUGCUCAUGCCCAUAAUUAUGGGUUUACAUUGUUGUUAUAUUUUCUUUUAAACAAUUAUAUAUUUUUUUUGUUGUUGGAAAUAUUAUACUGUAAUUUAUUUUGAAUUUCUA